AUUCUUGUCAAGAUAUGUCUUGUAGUACUGGACUGCUAGAAUUGCACAACCAAUCAAUUUGUUUUGGUUAGACUGCAACACUUGCAUAUUAUUUGAAAUCCAUUCAUCAGAAUCACUAUCAUCUGUAUCAUCUGUCUCAGUACCAGACUGUGAUCUGCACACAAAAAAAACAACCACCAUAAAUAAACCAAAUAAACAUUACUAUUGCACCAAAUAAAUUAAAAAAGUAUUCAACACAUUAA
This 242-nucleotide long non-coding RNA is filed under the name Sorghum bicolor (sorghum). Its description in RNAcentral is "long non-coding RNA (SBIC_LNC006835)". Lineage: Eukaryota; Viridiplantae; Streptophyta; Magnoliopsida; Poales; Poaceae. The record is from RNAcentral.